RNAcentral lists this non-coding RNA (863 nucleotides) under Caridina gracilipes. The record is from RNAcentral. Lineage: Eukaryota; Metazoa; Arthropoda; Malacostraca; Decapoda; Atyidae.
UCUGAAAUUAGUUUAAGAUAUAUUUCUUAAACCCUAUGUGUAUCAGCCGGUUACGCUUUAUCCUGGGAUAAGUUUAAUUCUUGUUUAUGUUUUCUACUGUUUGCAAGCAUUCUAUGAGAGUUGUUGCGCGAAUUGUUUGUAAGUUAAUCUUUGUCAUUUAGUUCUCAGUGUAGAAAAUUGGGUUAUUAAUUCAUGUUUAAAUUAGCUAUGUAGGAAGUACAGGUUAAAUUUGUGCCAGCAGCCGCGGUUAGACUGGAAGUAUAAGUAGAAAAAUUUGAGUAAACAGUUAAAGUACCAUUCAUAUUGAAUUUAUAUUCGUAAGUUUAGGGUGAAAUUUUUCUUUUAAUAUUAAAGUUCAAAUGAAUCUUUUUUAAGACUGUGAAGACUUAGGUACAAAAUAGGAUUAGAUACCCUAGUAUGCUUAGUUAGAAAUUAUAAUGCUUGAUUAGUAAACAGUUAUGUUCUCGAAAUUUAAAGAAUUUGGCGGCUCCCCAGUCCAGUUAGAGGAACCUGUCCUGUAAACGAUGAACCACGAAUUAUCUUACUUUUUCUUGCCUAUUGCAAUUAGUAUACCGUCAUUAUUAGAUAAUCUUUAAAUAGACUUGUCUAAAUAAACUUUACUUUUAGAAUAUUAGAUCAGGGUGCUGUCGAUGAAAAAGAAGAGAUGGGUUACAAUAAUACUUAGUUAUAUGGACGGUAAAGUGAAAUCUUUACCUGAAGGUGGAUUUAAUAGUAGGGGUAGGUGUAGUGAGAUACCCCGAUAGUGGUUCUGAGGAGUGUACAAAUCGCCCGUCGCUCUCACUAUCAAGGUGAGAUAAGUCGUAACAAGGUAGGUGUGCCGGAAGGUGUACCUAGGAGUAAUA